This 81-nucleotide ribosomal RNA is filed under the name Streptococcus pneumoniae. The record is from RNAcentral. Lineage: Bacteria; Bacillati; Bacillota; Bacilli; Lactobacillales; Streptococcaceae.
UCUAGUGACGAUGGCAAAGAGGCCACACCCGUUCCCAUCCCGAACACGGAAGUUAAGCUCUUUUGCGCCGAUGGUAGUUGG